AUGGUAAGGCUGGAGUGUCGAUCGGCGUUUGGUUUUGUGUGUUGUGUGGAAAAUUAGGAGUGGUAGAGCGCGCGCCUGAGGUGAACUGAGUCAGAUGAUGCAGCGAGAUAGGGGGGGGGACGGGGGGAGAGUGACGUAGGAAAGGAAGAUGAGGAUGGCUGGUCGUGUACGUCAGCGCAUGGGGGCAGGAUGUGACAUCGCAUUUGUGGUCUCCGUGAGAGCAAUGCCAGAACAUCAAUGGAAUGUGGUUGUGAGCUGCCAUACGAGGCGCGGAUCCUUGUCUCCCCAUACUACGGUCCGCAUGUCGUUUUUCUGUUUCGGGUGAUCUCUGCAGUGGAUUGUGAUUUUUGAGUAUGAGAUAGUGGUAGUGGAUGGUGGUAAUAUGCGGCAUCAGUUCAGGUAAUGCGUUAAGUGGAGCUGUUGUCCUGAUGAAAUUUUAGAUUAUGGAAACGUCUUAGUUACGCAGCAAUGCGGGAUCCCUGGAGGUUUCAAGAAGUGCCGUCCUCUAGGGUAGACGUGUAAAGUGGACGUGCGUAGACGCACCGAGGAUGCACGACUCUUGAGAUCCUAUCCAUCGGUUCCGGUUUCGAGUAUUCUGAAGUAAGUGUCCGUUGCCGACUGAGGUAACCGUAAGUUGCUUGUGACGCCGUUGGAUAAAAAAGCGCCUCACACUGUAUGUUCGUCCAUGAUCAAUGCAUCAUCUGAUUAAAUGCACAGAUGCGCAAUACAGUGUCAACACGCUUUCUCUGACGUGCGGAUUUUCUGGAACGUCAUUGUCAUCUUACAUGUGGAUCUUCGCUCCAGGAUGGCGCAAUGGUACGUUUGGAUCAAAGCGAUACGUGGGUAACUUCAUGCGUAAGGGCAUUCCUGAGCACUGUGGGAAAUAGGCGAACCGAUGCUUUGUAUUGUCUCCCCAUGAUCGAGUUUUGCUCUCCCGCACCCGCGUCAUCGUCGCACGUACAUGUAAGAUUCACUCGUACUCAAUACAGUGCUACUGCGGCCUUGGUGGCUGCCGCGUAAGGCUCGAAUUCGCGCGUUGUACCAAAUAGCCACUCUUACAUGGCCACGACCCAUUCGAAACAUGCGUGUAUCAAUUAUUCCGCCAGUGGCUUGUUUACAACUGAGUUGCACGUUGGUGGCCACUUCUUAUGACGGUGUUGGUAUGUCACAAACCCGACUUCUUACGUAAGGCGACGGUGUCUUCUUUCUACCUGUUCUGGUCGAGAAGAUUGACUUCCCUGGAGACGUAAGGCCUGAAAGUCGUCACAUGCGCCUUCGUAUUUUUACUACUCCUCAAGAUCGGCGAAAAGUAUUCAUGAUGGUGACACACAUCGAUAGAUUAGAACUCCUCAGUAAAUCGACUACGUAACCAACCGAGGCCCGACAAAAGCACGUGAUGCACGGAUAUGCUGCCAGACAUCGCAUGACACUUGCGAUUUCUCACGUUGCUUCUGUUGCAACUUUACAAGUAACAUUUUUUUCGUUUCCCUCCUCUUUCCCGCCAGCUCGAAUUUGAGGAUCGGUUCUUUGAUUCCUUUUGUUUUAGAGACUGGUCGCGCAGAAGAUGACCUACGUUGACAACUUUUACGGUAUUUACGUGGCUUCAUACGCUGUGAGGAAGCGGAACGCUGCGAGAUGGUUUUGUCCUAUGGCUGCCUCGUCCUUUUCGCGCGGAUGAUUCCGCUUUAUGUGGGUUGGAAUAUGUUCCACUUUCUUCUGUAUUGGCGUUGACAAUGAAUAGGGUGCAGCGGACAUAACUUUUCGAAAGAGUAGUCGCUCAUUUACAGCAGAAGAGCUAAUGAUGCUGAAUUCAGAUGUCCUAGGUACCAUUGUUCGGCUUCAUCGGUUUCCAGUUCUUGCGCAUCGGCCCCACGAAGAGCGUGAGAGAUCCGCAGUGUGCAAUCUCGCACGCCGACAUGUGCAUGCAACCUCAAUGAACAGGAGGUACGUUUUUGCUGCUUGACUACAUCGCAACAAUAAACCUUGCCAAAAGGGGUGGAAAAUAUUUUCUCUACCGUGGUCGCUGCCGAGCUGUCCAAGAACACGUAAGCAGCCGAUUCGCCAGUGAAGUUGCAACUAUAUGCUUACCAGUUUUCUUUAGGGGCGCAUAUGUGACUGCAUAUUUCAGCACGUGCCGCUUCAUAUUAAUGUCUGUCUACACGCACGGAAUGAAGACAGUUGGACGCCUAGAAGAAACGAAUACACUAUUAAGACAACGCUGUCGGAUUUUGUGCCUCUACUCGUCCAGCUGUUAGUGUGCUCAGGUGUCACCAACGGACAUUUGUCUAUUGGCACAAUCCCAGCAAUCCAACGAUGAGAGACUGAGUAUUUGAAGUGUGGAAAUCGGCACUCGUUCUUCGCAUCGCAUGGAUAUGCCUAGACGGUACUUCGAAAACCAUUUGGACAAUCAACUCUCAGCAAGUAAGAGACGAGACUACAGUACCAGGAGGUUCCGCUAGUGGAACGAUGCUUUCUCAGUUGGAACCGCGUGACUGUCAUAUACCCGCACAGAAUUGCAGCCAUCACGAGAUCGAUCACUGGCCACUGCGUCAUCACCUAAGGCAUGAGUAUUUGAUUCUGUCUGUCUCGCAUGUGGGGAGGCAGGAAUGUCUUUUUCCGUUGAAGAGUGAGGAACCGAUAUGCUGCGCCAGGGUGCACUGGCAGCCCUAGCCAGUUUCGGAGGAGGAAUCUCAGGAUAGAGAACGCACAGGGGCCGCGUCGCGCUCUUGCGAAAACGACAGUGUCCUGUUAGCAGGCACUCAGAAUUGCAACAUAUAAAGUGAAACUCGGCAGCGACGCUAGGAGCUUUGGUGUGAUGUGCACGCUGACUGCCUGAACGUGGACUCUUCCACUUGCGCGGCAGGACUUCGAAGUUAAACAAUUGCGUACAAGGUCAGGUGUGUAGUUGACGCCUCUGAGGGUGGCCACUCUGCACGCCGCCGUAUUGGCUGCACGAAUCGUGUCGAAAUGUACUUGUCUGAGUCACUAUCACAGGACGGGGCUGCCUCGUUCUUUAGGCGAGUCAUCCCUAGUGCGAACGUGCACACACACAUACGAGGGUACAAAAGAGGGGCAAAAUUUCAGGAAACUACGGGAUGCACAGAGCGCCACUUAUUCUUCAUAUCUGAAGAAUAUGGGUCUUUUUCAGGCAAGAUUGUUGCUGUGGAGAGAGACACGCACUCUGUGUACGUAGAACCUGACCUGGCUUCUCCAGGUCUUCCCACACACGAGAGCGGUUUUGGAUUUUCUUUCCUUCCAGACGACUUUGCGGAAGAGAGUGCUCUAGUAUACAUUGGAAACAGUGUUGUAGUUCUGUCUCUCCUCAUGCCGUCUUUCUCAUCCGGAUCUACAAGUCCAUCGCACCUUCAUCCCCCAGGUGUCAAACGUCUCAGGCUCAAUUUGCUCGGUCUUGCUAUGAGUGCCUUAGCACUGUGAGAGUGUCGUUUCGCAGAUCAAGAAGGUGGUAGUAGUUGAUGGAUGUUGCUAUGUGAUACAGCUGAAGGAUGUGAGAGACCACAUUCGCAUGUGCGACUAUGGCUUUGAGGAGAACGAACAACCGUAGACGUCUGAGUGGAUCCACGAUACCUCCACAAGAAUGCGGAGCCGAGGCACCGCGGCUCUGGUAGCAAAGAAGUGCUCACUGGCUUUGUGGUGUCCUCACUAGAAUGGUGCAGACGCGACAAAGCGAUCAGGUAUACACCUAGAGCGCCUCAGGAAACUAUACGCAGC
RNAcentral lists this long non-coding RNA (3729 nucleotides) under Toxoplasma gondii VEG. Lineage: Eukaryota; Apicomplexa; Conoidasida; Eucoccidiorida; Sarcocystidae. The record is from RNAcentral.